UCUGAGAGGAUGACCCCCCACACUGGUACUGAGAACACGGACCAGACUCUUACGGGAGGCAGCAGUAAGGAAUAUUGGUCAAUGGGCGCAAGCCUGAACCAGCCAUGCCGCGUGCAGGAAGACGGCCCUACGGGUUGUAAACUGCUUUUGUACCGGAAUAAACCCUUUUACGUGUAAGAGGUUGAAUGUACGGUAAGAAUAAGGAUCGGCUAACUCCGUGCCAGCAGCCGCGGUAAUACGGAGGAUCCAAGCGUUAUCCGGAUUUAUUGGGUUUAAAGGGUGCGUAGGCGGCCUAUUAAGUCAGGGGUGAAAGACGGUAGCUUAACUAUCGCAGUGCCUUUGAUACUGAUGGGCUUGAAUGUACUUGAGGUAGGCGGAAUGUGACAAGUAGCGGUGAAAUGCAUAGAUAUGUCACAGAACACCAAUUGCGGAGGCAGCUUACUAAAGUAUGAUUGACGCUGAGGCACGAAAGCGUGGGGAUCAAACAGGAUUAGAUACCCUGGUAGUCCACGCCCUAAACGAUGAACACUCGAUGUUGGCGAUAUACGGUCAGCGUCUAAGCGAAAGCGUUAAGUGUUCCACCUGGGGAGUACGCCCGCAAGGGUGAAACUCAAAGGAAUUGACG
Molecule: ribosomal RNA, 625 nt
Filed under: uncultured Bacteroidota bacterium
Lineage: Bacteria; Pseudomonadati; Bacteroidota
Description: SSU rRNA
Rfam family: Bacterial small subunit ribosomal RNA
Source: RNAcentral